ACCCUUCUAGGGCUAUUCUGCGUCAGGCACCAGGCUGAAUCCUUCGGUGCUUCUCUCUGCCCUGCGCACCUGGCCACCUCUCUUUUGGCUUCUGGGAAGCCCAGUGGAGGAAAGCCCCUGAUUUGAUUGGAAAGGGAUGAAACUCAAAGGAAAAGGACGAAAAAUCUGGGGCAAAGCAAAAGAGACUGGGAGAUGGUGUGAAGAAAAAGGAGUGACUCAUUGCUGAGACAGUUGUGUGUUGGCCUGCAUCCCUGCCCCUGCUGCGGAUUUCCUACCUGAUGCUGAGCGAGUCACUCACAGCAGCCUUUUCAGAGGGCUAGACCUCAGGGGAUGUUCGUUUUUGGAGAGUUACAUAAAGCGGAAAAGAUGCUUGUGGCUACCACUGCACACUGGUUUGGCAACUGGCGAGGAAUGGAGAUGACCCAGCACA
Long non-coding RNA from Columba livia (rock pigeon), 430 nucleotides. RefSeq lists it as uncharacterized. Lineage: Eukaryota; Metazoa; Chordata; Aves; Columbiformes; Columbidae. The transcript has 3 exons. The record is from RefSeq and is a predicted model, not a curated record.